RNAcentral lists this ribosomal RNA (440 nucleotides) under uncultured bacterium. RNAcentral describes it as "partial 16S ribosomal RNA". It matches the Rfam family "Bacterial small subunit ribosomal RNA", at positions 338 to 795 of the family's 1533-position model. The record is from RNAcentral.
CCUACGGGAGGCUGCAGUGGGGAAUAUUGCACAAUGGGGGAAACCCUGAUGCAGCGACGCCGCGUGAAGGAAGAAGUAUUUCGGUAUGUAAACUUCUAUCAGCAGGGAAGAAAAUGACGGUACCUGACUAAGAAGCCCCGGCUAACUACGUGCCAGCAGCCGCGGUAAUACGUAGGGGGCAAGCGUUAUCCGGAUUUACUGGGUGUAAAGGGAGUGUAGGCGGUUUAGCAAGUCAGAAGUGAAAGCCCGGGGCGUAACGCCGGGACUGCUUUUGAAACUGGUGAACUAGAGUGCAGGAGAGGAGAGUGGAAUUCCUGGUGUAGCGGUGGAAUGCGUAGAUAUUAGGAAGAACACCAGUGGCGAAGGCAGGUUACUGGGCUGUAAAUGACGCUGAGGCUCGAAAGCGUGGGGAGCGAACAGGAUUAGAUACCCCUGUAGUC